AGAGCAGCACAUGGGGUAACGCCCCUCGGCCGUAAGGUUAGGAACAGUGAAACAGAAAGAAUGUCCGCGGCUUUGAGCCUGAUUUCGGGAACGGGAGAUUUCAGGGGAGCCGGCGGAGUGAAAACAGUCAAACUCUGUGCGAAGCAAGAUCAAAUAGGGAUGCGCAAUUGUGAAAGUCGCAAGAUUUUUACGGUUUAACAGCGGCUCGCUGAAGACAUCCGGGUCAGAUCGCUUGAGCCCACAAGUAAUUGUGGGCCUAGAGGAAUGCUUACCAACUUAUCAAGGGAAUGUGGGAACCAAGAUAAGAAACAGAACUCGGCUUACAGUAAAACCCUCCCA
RNAcentral lists this RNase P RNA (339 nucleotides) under Bdellovibrio sp. Its description in RNAcentral is "partial RNase P RNA component class A". It matches the Rfam family "Bacterial RNase P class A", at positions 63 to 367 of the family's 367-position model. Rfam says of the family: Ribonuclease P (RNase P) is a ubiquitous endoribonuclease, found in archaea, bacteria and eukarya as well as chloroplasts and mitochondria. Its best characterised activity is the generation of mature 5'-ends of tRNAs by cleaving the 5'-leader elements of precursor-tRNAs. The record is from RNAcentral. Lineage: Bacteria; Pseudomonadati; Bdellovibrionota; Bdellovibrionia; Bdellovibrionales; Pseudobdellovibrionaceae.